This 1383-nucleotide ribosomal RNA is filed under the name Chaetothyriales sp. MMO8. Its description in RNAcentral is "eukaryotic LSU rRNA". It matches the Rfam family "Eukaryotic large subunit ribosomal RNA", at positions 1 to 1402 of the family's 3401-position model. The record is from RNAcentral. Lineage: Eukaryota; Fungi; Ascomycota; Eurotiomycetes; Chaetothyriales.
UUGACCUCGGAUCAGGUAGGAAUACCCGCUGAACUUAAGCAUAUCAAUAAGCGGAGGAAAAGAAACCAACUGGGAUUGCCUCAGUAACGGCGAGUGAAGCGGCAACAGCUCAAAUUUGAAAUCUGGCCCUCGCGGGUCCGAGUUGUAAUUUGGAGAGGAUGUUUUGGGCACCGCGGCGGUGUAAAUUUCUUGGAACAGAAUGUCAGAGAGGGUGAGAAUCCCGUCUUGGACCGCCGUAGGACCCGUGUAAAACUCCUUCGACGAGUCGACUUGUUUGGGAAUGCAGGUCAAAAUGGGUGGUAAAUUUCAUCUAAAGCUAAAUAUUGGCCAGAGACCGAUAGCGCACAAGUAGAGUGAUCGAAAGAUGAAAAGCACUUUGAAAAGAGAGUUAAACAGUAUGUGAAAUUGUUGAAAGGGAAGCGCUGGCAACCAGACUCGUACGCGGGGUUCCCCCUUGCUUCUGCUUGGGUUACUUCCCCGCGUCCGGGCCAUCAUCAGUUUUGGGGGCCGGUCAAAGGCCCCGGGAAAGUAUCCUCUCUCUCGGGGGAGGACUUAUAGCCCGGGGUGUCAUGCGGCCUCCCGGGACUGAGGAACGCGCUUCGGCGAGGAUGAUGGCGUAAUGGUUGUCAGCGACCCGUCUUGAAACACGGACCAAGGAGUCUAACAUCUAUGCGAGUGUUCGGGUGUCAAACCCUGGCGCGGAAUGAAAGUGAACGGAGGUAGGAAGGCUUGAGCCUGCACUAUCGACCGAUCCUGAUGUCUUCGGAUGGAUUUGAGUAAGAGCAUAGCUGUUGGGACCCGAAAGAUGGUGAACUAUGCGUGAAUAGGGUGAAGCCAGAGGAAACUCUGGUGGAGGCUCGCAGCGGUUCUGACGUGCAAAUCGAUCGUCAAAUUUGCGUAUAGGGGCGAAAGACUAAUCGAACUAUCUGGUAGCUGGUUUCUGCCGAAGUUUCCCUCAGGAUAGCAGUAACGUUUUCAGUUUUAUGAGGUAAAGCGAAUGAUUAGAGGCCUUGGGGUUGAAACAACCUUAACCUAUUCUCAAACUUUAAAUAUGUAAGAAGUCCUUGUUACUUUGUUGAACGUGGACAUUUGAAUGUACCGUUACUAGUGGGCCAUUUUUGGUAAGCAGAACUGGCGAUGCGGGAUGAACCGAACGCGAGGUUAAGGUGCCGGAAUGCACGCUCAUCAGACACCACAAAAGGUGUCAAUGCAUCUAGACAGCCGGACGGUGGCCAUGGAAGUCGGAAUCCGCUUAGGAGUGUGUAACAACUCACCGGCCGAAUGCAUUGGCCCUGAAAAUGGAUGGCGCUUAAGCGUGCUACCCAUACCUCGCCGUCAGGGUUGACAUGAUGCCCUGACGAGUAGGCAGGCGGGAGGUCCGGA